Molecule: ribosomal RNA, 405 nt
Filed under: uncultured bacterium
Lineage: Bacteria
Description: bacterial SSU rRNA
Rfam family: Bacterial small subunit ribosomal RNA
Source: RNAcentral
AUUGAACGCUGGCGGCAUGCCUUACACAUGCAAGUCGAACGGCAGCAUGGAAGAGCUUGCUCUUCUGAUGGCGAGUGGCGAACGGGUGAGUAAAGCAUCGGAACGUACCGUGUAGUGGGGGAUAACGUAGCGAAAGUUACGCUAAUACCGCAUACGCACUGAGGUGGAAAGCAGGGGAUCGCAAGACCUUGCGCUAUACGAGCGGCCGAUGUCAGAUUAGCUAGUUGGUAGGGUAAAGGCCUACCAAGGCGACGAUCUGUAGCGGGUCUGAGAGGAUGAUCCGCCACACUGGGACUGAGACACGGCCCAGACUCCUACGGGAGGCAGCAGUGGGGAAUUUUGGACAAUGGGCGAAAGCCUGAUCCAGCCAUGCCGCGUGAGUGAAGAAGGCCUCGGUUGUAAGUA